This 253-nucleotide unclassified non-coding RNA is filed under the name uncultured Halomonadaceae bacterium. RNAcentral's name for it is "contains 16S-23S intergenic spacer region". It matches the Rfam family "Bacterial small subunit ribosomal RNA", at positions 524 to 776 of the family's 1533-position model. The record is from RNAcentral. Lineage: Bacteria; Pseudomonadati; Pseudomonadota; Gammaproteobacteria; Oceanospirillales; Halomonadaceae.
UACGGAGGGUGCAAGCGUUAAUCGGAGUUACUGGGCUGAACGCGCGCGUAGGUGGCUUUAUAAGCCGGUUGUGAAAGCCCCGGGCUCAACCUGGGAACGGCAUCCGGAACUGUCAAGCUAGAGUGCAGGAGAGGAAGGUAGAAUUCCCGGUGUAGCGGUGAAAUGCGUAGAGAUCGGGAGGAAUACCAGUGGCGAAGGCGGCCUUCUGGACUGACACUGACACUGAGCUGCGAAAGCGUGGGUAGCAAACAGG